CUGCCCACCGGAAACGAUGGCGCGAGGCCGCAGAGCUAAACGGGGCCUCUCCAAGGAGUGCUGUGUUCACGGCUCCAUCGCUGUUAGGCAGCUGGGAUGAUGAAAGCAUCCCAAGACCUCCCUUUUCCAUCUGUGGCUGAUCACCUCUGGAACCCACAGCUAGCCGGCUGCUCCUCCACUAUCAGAUGGUGGCUGUCAGUCAUGGGCUUGUCGCCGAGUGCAUCCGUCAUGCUCUGGCCAUGGGCCGGCACCUGUGUGUGCGUGUCCAGCUUAACGACAGAGAUUUUUGGAAAGACGCCCUAAGAUAGACAUACUUGAAACUGAGUGAGAAUAAGUUUGACUUAUUUCUUUUUGAGAUACUUUAUAUGUUUGAAAUAAUUAAUAGCUGGCACCAGUGAAUCUAGUUUCUGUCUGUUUCCUUUAAAGAUUAUAUGUAGUGUUGG
This 443-nucleotide small RNA is filed under the name Pongo abelii (Sumatran orangutan). Its description in RNAcentral is "processed transcript". The record is from RNAcentral. Lineage: Eukaryota; Metazoa; Chordata; Mammalia; Primates; Hominidae.